GCUCAUUCACAACCCUCUAUAAAACACUUAAAAAAACUAUUUAUAUACUAACUUACUAUUAACCCCAAAACUAUAAGUACUAAAAAGGAAAAUAACAUUAAUUUUAAGUAGUGAUAACCCACGUACCUUGUGCAUUAUGGUUUUACAAGCUAGAAAUUAAAAAUAUUAUUCCCGAAUCCUACGCGAGCUGCCCCUAUAUAGCUAAGAGCCCACUACUAGUUGUAGCAACAACUUUAGAAAAUAUAUUGGCAGAGGCUACAUACCACACGCGCUAGAAGAUCGCUGGUUUUCAGUAAAACUUAUUAAUUAAAACAUGCAGCACUCUGCAGUGUAAGAUUUCAGAGGACAAGCCCUGUAAUCCUAAGCUAUUUUUAAGUACUUCAACAUCUCUAGGCCUAAAAACAGCCAUCAUAAAUACUUCACCGUAUAAAUAAUUCACAAUCCCUAACUUUAUAUGCCUAAACUAACUGAAACUUGGGAAAAACAUUAAAUCCCAAAAUAUUCUGUAAAAAUAAGUAUUAGAAAAAGAUAAAAUAUAUUUUUAAAUUAUAGCCCCAAAUUAACAACCAAACACUUAUAAGGAACUCGGCAAUUCUUAUUUCGACUGUUA
RNAcentral lists this ribosomal RNA (610 nucleotides) under Scherotheca savignyi. Its description in RNAcentral is "partial 16S ribosomal RNA". The record is from RNAcentral. Lineage: Eukaryota; Metazoa; Annelida; Clitellata; Crassiclitellata; Lumbricidae.